AGAAAUGUUUCAAACCAGAUGUUCUACAUCAUUUCUCCCAUUGAAACUGAGGGCUUUACACGCAGCCUUUUGUAAUGAAAUUAUCAGUAGUUGUAUUAGCAUGGAGCCUGAUAUGUGACUUACAUAAAGCCCGCCAUACCCUUCACAUUUUUGCUUGUAGUAGCUUAAUUUGUUACCUAGGAGAAAGAGAACAUCUAGUGCUAUCUUUGAAUUUGUCUGCACCUCACAUCUGCAACAAGGUGGCGUAUGUGUGGAGCAUACCAUUUUACCCUCUCCACAUGCUCAAUUGAUACCUCCCAACACAGACCUUCGGAUCUAGCAAUUUCAUCCAUUGAUCUCAAAACAUGUUCAGUCCAUGAGCUCUCCUCUGAGUCCUUCACAUUUCCAUGCACAUGAAGCAUGCCACCCUCAAUCCUGGAGUAGCACUGCCAUUAAAACAGCACAACAAAAAC
RNAcentral lists this unclassified non-coding RNA (452 nucleotides) under Hevea brasiliensis (rubber tree). The record is from RNAcentral. Lineage: Eukaryota; Viridiplantae; Streptophyta; Magnoliopsida; Malpighiales; Euphorbiaceae.